This 963-nucleotide long non-coding RNA is filed under the name Heterocephalus glaber (naked mole-rat). RNAcentral describes it as "lncRNA (ENSHGLG00100040693.1)". The record is from RNAcentral. Lineage: Eukaryota; Metazoa; Chordata; Mammalia; Rodentia; Bathyergidae.
AGAUUCUGACUCACGGAGGUCUCAUCAUCAUCAGAAUCAUUCCCAAACACUGAUGGUUUCGCCUGCCCAGAAUCGCCACCUUGCUCCCUUCUCCGCUGAACGUAGUUGACGCUGACGUGACGCAGACACCGUCAGGUAAAUUCUCGCGCGACUUUGAGUAAAUUCUCGCGUUUAGCAAUUUUAUCUGUUUGAGUUGUUUUUAGAUUCCUGGUUAAUGUGUCUUAGGGCGUCUGCUUUGUUUUGAAGCCGACCAGCUGCAGUUCAUAGACGUUUCAGCCCAUAAUUGGCUGGUUCCGAGGCUGCCGUGGCAAACAAGCAUCGCAGAGGAGAAACAACUAGGCGCACCCAACGCACCAAAGGCAGGACUUUACUGGGGAAGGAGCUGCUGAGCUGCCUCGAACAAUGCAGGACAACAUAGCUGAUUUGAAUAUGGAGCAAGCAGUCUGUAGCAGGCAGAAUCAUGAAUAAUAUUAACAGACUGAGAAGAUUACGUGUGCAAUAGGCUACCAAACUCCAACUGUUUAUACAAAUGGAACCAAAGACAAAUGUGCAAGACUUCUUUUACCAGGAUCCACCAGAUUCACCUUGAAAAAAGUUCAUAACUGCUAAACUACAAUACGACUUCUUUGUUGGAUUCUGAAGGCCCCUUAUUCUCUUCGUGGCAGGCUAUUACUAGUUCCUCCUAGUAGAAAUACUUGUUGGCUAUAUUUAUAUCAACCCUGGUAUCCUUAUUAUUUAGCCCAUGUAUUCUUAACUGUUUCUUUGGUUUUGUCUCCCCCAGAUUUAAAGCUAUAAGACUACCCAUGACAACAAAGCCUGGUGCCUAUCAAGGGCCUUUAGAUAGACCUUCUAUAGAGUAACUCUCACUGCCGAUCAAACCUAUAAUGCUCUUCAGCCUUAAGUAGUCAGAAUGGUCUUUGCCCCUUGCCCACUCACAGCAGUUAAGAAUACUUCUUCAGAGAG